This 208-nucleotide ribosomal RNA is filed under the name uncultured bacterium. RNAcentral describes it as "partial 16S ribosomal RNA". It matches the Rfam family "Bacterial small subunit ribosomal RNA", at positions 568 to 774 of the family's 1533-position model. The record is from RNAcentral.
CGCGUAGGCGGGCUGCAAAGUCCGGGGUGAAAGCCCCCCAGCUUAACUGGGGAAGUGCCUUGGAUACUGGCGGCCUGGAGGAGGGUAGGGGCGUCUGGAACGGUCGGUGGAGCGGUGAAAUGCGUUGAUAUCGACCGGAACUCCGGUGGCGAAGGCGAGGCGCUGGACCCUUUCUGACGCUGAGGCGCGAAAGCCAGGGGAGCAAACG